CUAUGAUAUAAAAAAUAUAUACUUUAGAUCUAAAAAUAAAAAUACAUCGGUCUCAUCGAUGCUGAAAUUUUAGAUCUAACUAUUAGAUCUAACAUUACGAUCAGGAUAAAAUAGAAAAUAUUACCAAACAACUUUGAUAUUAUUUUUUUCUAGUCCAAUGGUUAGAGAAAGUAUUCCUCAGGUCACUCAUAGAUACACGAAGUGUCUGGCCUCUAUAAGAAAAUCUAUGCAAAGAUUGACGUAGAUCAGAGACUUGGAGGUGCUAGACUGCAAGCAACUUUGACGGCUGAUCUCUUUGUUUUUCUUCAAGCACCUUGGACACUCCAAAGGAUGAAGAGAUCU
This 342-nucleotide long non-coding RNA is filed under the name Elaeis guineensis (African oil palm). RNAcentral's name for it is "long non-coding RNA (EGUI_LNC056797)". The record is from RNAcentral. Lineage: Eukaryota; Viridiplantae; Streptophyta; Magnoliopsida; Arecales; Arecaceae.